RNAcentral lists this ribosomal RNA (462 nucleotides) under uncultured bacterium. RNAcentral's name for it is "partial 16S ribosomal RNA". It matches the Rfam family "Bacterial small subunit ribosomal RNA", at positions 28 to 507 of the family's 1533-position model. The record is from RNAcentral.
GAUGAACGCUGACAGAAUGCUUAACACAUGCAAGUCAUUGGCGAAGCUGCUCUUGCGCAGUCUAGCCAAGGCGGACGGGUGAGUAACGCGUAAGGAACUUGCCCUGCAGACAGGGAUAACAGACGGAAACGACUGAUAACACCUGGUAUUGUCAGGCUGGCGCACGCCGGCCCGAUGAAAGGAGACGCGGCGGGAGAGCCUUGCGUCCUAUUUGCUUGUUGGGGGGGUGACGUCCCACCAAGGCGAUGAGAGGGAGCCGGCCUGAGAGGGUGAACGGCCACAAGGGGACUGAGAUACCGCCCGUACUCAUACGGGAGGCAGCAGUGGGGAAUAUUGGACAAAGGGGGCAACGCUGAUCCAGGAAUUCUGUGUGCACGAAGAAGGUUUUCGGAAUGUAAAGUGCUUUCAGCAGGGAAGAAGAAAGUGACGGUACCUGCAGAAGAAGCGACGGCUAAAUACGUG